RNAcentral lists this unclassified non-coding RNA (353 nucleotides) under uncultured Entoloma. RNAcentral's name for it is "sequence contains ITS1". The stretch from base 1 to 105 matches the Rfam family "5.8S ribosomal RNA", at positions 50 to 154 of the family's 154-position model. The record is from RNAcentral. Lineage: Eukaryota; Fungi; Basidiomycota; Agaricomycetes; Agaricales; Entolomataceae.
GAAAUGCGAUAAGUAAUGUGAAUUGCAGAAUUCAGUGAAUCAUCGAAUCUUUGAACGCACCUUGCGCUCCUUGGUACUCCGAGGAGCAUGCCUGUUUGAGUGUCAUGAAAUUCUCAACCUUUCUGGCUUUUACAAAGUUGGUCAGGCUUGGAUUGUGGGGGUUGCUGGCUUCUAAAGUCAGCUCUUCUAAAAUACAUUAGCAAGAUCAUUGCUGCUCAUCACUGGUAUGAUAAUUAUCUAUACUAUUGAUGAGUCGGUUUCCUUUAUGGAGGAUUUUGCUCCUAGCUGUCUUCAUUAAGACAAUACUUGACCAUUUUGACCUCAAAUCAGGUAGGACUACCCGCUGAACUUAA